CAUUCACGUACAUUAACAUUCAAGUUUUCAAGUUUCAAGUUUUAUUUCAAAUCUUGGCCCUUUAAGGGCAUCAGCAUUACAGAUAAAUGCAUAUACAUGUACAAAUUAACAGCCAAAACAGUUCAGCAAACAAAUAUCACGAACCAUCUAAACAUUAGUAACAUUUACUAACAACAGGAAUGUGACCAGCAUAAACUCAAAGUAGCAUGCAUGAGCCCUGUCACAAGAAAACCGACCCAACGACCCCACAAACAUGGCGAAUCAAGACCAGCCCAUGCAUCUGCGCAGAUCCAAUAGAGCCCAGAAAACACCCGCACUCACUGCAGAAAUUUAAAGACGUCUUAACUGACAGAAUAAGCUCCACCAAAACCCCACAGAUACACAGACCGGCCAAGACCCAACCAAACAACGAAUCCCUGAGACGGCCCAAAAGUAACAGAGCCCAUACAAAAACUUUCAUUCAUUAAAACGGUGGCUACGUUAUUUUUUCCGAUAAAAAAGUUAAGAUCAUGAACUAAUUAAAAUGAUGUCUUCAAUUCCUCUUGAAAUUUAGUGGGCAAAUAUCUAAAAAAAAAUAAAACAUGUAUUGAUUCGUUUUUAUUUGACCGGAUAAUAUGCAAUAUAUUGGUUUACAACUGUGAAAAAGUUUCAUUAACGUCUAGAUUGUAGACAUAGUACCGCCGGAAGUAGAACAUUUAUGUCAACACCGGUUUCGUAUUUUCACGUGAAAUCGGCCGAAAACUGAGAGGUUAUCAACAAAUUAUAAGUUUACGGGUACCAUGAGGAUUUUUCAUGCAUUUAAACGACAGAAGUACAAGUGAACAGAUGACACAUUAAAGUGGCUGCAGAAGCUUGAAAAGUUAGAUAGAGCAGGGACAGUCAAAACUGUGGGAUAAUACUUCUAUGUAAUUUCUUUUUAAAGGCAAUUUAUACAGGAUGGAAGGGGUGUCCAGCAUGUCUAGUCAGGUUGACAGAAGUGAAAGAUGGUCUGAUGUGUAAAAUGUUUUGUGGAUUCAUAUGAUGAGAAUGCCAAUGUUGAUCUGUAUGACUUAAUUAAACACAGAUAUUUAUACCUUCAGAUAUAUACCUGUGAAAUCUUCAGUGUCACCGUUCAGCUAUUGUUCAAGAUCAGUGUCUGCAGCUUGCACAGUUUAGUAUAGAGGAGCCUUCUGAAUCAAUUUUGUUACAUAUUUGCUGUUAUUGUAUGACGCAUAUGUAGAGAGCAACAAGUCCUGUCCAACUGUGCAUGUAAAUGUGAUUCAGAAACUUUGAGAAUAUGUAAACAUUACACUGUUAUAAUUUUCAAAAUACUGUGUCUUGUAGUGUAUCAGUACUGUUUUGUCUCAGUUUAUAGCACAGUAUGUCCACAAAUCAAACUUAAGAUCAUAGUUAUCAGUAUUAUUAAAAUCAUUAAUUAUUUGUAUGGUGACAAAAUUUAAUUUCAUGCAAUACCACAAUAAAACGUUUGAUAAUUUUCGUUUUUAAAGUUGUAAGUUUAAAGUUGGCAUAAAUUGAUUUUCUCCUUCAUUAAUCUAAAAAGCGAUUGGUCAUUAUAAUUGCAAUAUCAUUUUAGUGUGACAAAGUUUAUAUUGAACUAAAACGCUAAUGUAAAUUUUUGAACUAUUCAAUGCAUUUUCUUCAGUCUUAAAACAUUUGUUUAUCGUACAUGUCAUGACCCAUAACUCCUCCAUAUUACUUGUGUUUUGUCCUUUUUCGUUUCACUGAAGGAUAGGUAGAUUUAUUGCACAUCCAUUUUUUAGCAUCCUGAUUUUGUAAAGUGUUGUAUGUAAGGUUUUAUCUCGGAAUAAUGUCUCAUCUAAAGGUGGGCAGAGGUAUUG
Molecule: long non-coding RNA, 1838 nt
Organism: Mercenaria mercenaria
Lineage: Eukaryota; Metazoa; Mollusca; Bivalvia; Venerida; Veneridae
Exons: 5
Source: RefSeq, a predicted model, not a curated record